GUUGGUUCGGGCAUGUCCGGCAGGUGGUUCUGUGGAGUGCAUCAGGUGGUUCCGGCAUACUCGGCAGGUGGUUCCAGCAUGUCCGGCACAUGGUUCUGGAACGUCUGAGCGGUGGUUCCGGCAUGCCCGGCAGGUGAUCCCGGAGAGUCCUCCAAGUGGUUCUGGCGUACCCCGCAGGUGUUUCUGGUGUGUCCGGCAGGUGGCUCUGGUGAGUCGAGCAGGUGGUUCCAGCGUGCUCGGCAGGUGGUUCAGGCAGGUCCGGCAGGAUUUUGCAGUCUGUCCAUGACGUGGUUCCGGCAUGCCCGCAAGGUGAUUCUCAAGUGUCCCCCAAGUGGUUUUGGCGUUGCCGGCAUAUGAUUUUGGCCUGUCAGUCAGGUGGUUCCGGUAUGUCCAGCAGGUGGUUCCGGCGAGCUCGGCAGGUGCUUCCGGUCUCUCCGGCACGCGGUUCUGGCACCUCUGAGAGGUGGUUCCGGCAUAUGCGGCAGGUGGUACCGGCGUGUCGAGCCGGUGGUUGGGGCAUGUCCGGCAGGUGGUUCUGGGGAGUGGAUCAGGUGGUUCCGGCAUACUCGGCAGGUGGUUCCGGCGUGUCCAGCACAUGGUUCUGGCGUACCCGGCAGGUGAUUUUGGCAUCUCCGGCAGGUGUUUCUUGCAAGUCGAGCAGGUGGCUCAAGCAUGCUCAGCAGGAGCUUCCGGCAUCUGUGGCACGUGUUUCUGGUGUGUCUGAGAGCUGCUUCUGGCAUUUCCGGCAGAUGAUUCCGGAGUGUCCACCAAGUGGUUCUGGCGUAGCUGGCAGGUGAUGUUGGCGUGACCAGCAGGUGGUUCCAGCAAGCGCGGCAGGUGAUACCGAAGUGUUCACCAACUGGUUCUGGCAUAGCCGGCAGGUGAUUUUGGCGUGUCCGGGAGGUGAUUCUGGCGAGUCGAGCAGGUGGUUCCGGCGUGCUCAGCAGGUGCUUCUGGUGUCAUUGGCACGUGGUUCUGGCAUGUCUGAGAGGUGCUUCCGGCAUGCCCAGCAGGUGAAUCCGGAGUGUUUGCCAAGUGGUUCUGGCGUAGCCGGCAGUUGAUUUGGCAUGUCCGGCGGUGGUUCUGGCGAGUCGAGCCGGUGGUUCCGGCAUGUCCGGAAUGUGGUUCCGGUCUGUCCGGGAGAUGUUUCCGGCCUGUCCGGCACGUGCUUCGGGCACGUCUGAGAGGUUGUGCUGGCAUGCCCGGCUGGUGAUUCUGGAGUGUCCGCCAAGUGGUUCUGGUGUAGCCGGCAGGUGAUUUCGGCGUGUCCGGCAGGUGGUUCUGUGGAGUGGAUCAGGAACUUCCGGCAUUCUCGGCAGGUGCUUCCGCCGUCUCCGGCAUGUGUUUGUGGCACCUCUGAGAGGUGGUUCCAGCAUGCCCAGCAGGUGAUUCCGGAGUGUCCGACAAGUGGUUGUGGCAUAGCCGGCUGGUGAUUUUGGCGUGUGCGGCAGGUGGUUCUGGCGAGUCAAGCAGGUGGUCCCGGCGUGUCCUGCAGGUGGUUCCAGUCUGUCCUGGAGGUGGUCCCGGAGUCUGUGCCGAGUUGUUUUGGCGUAGCCGGCAGGUGAUUUUUUCGUGUCCAGCAGGUGGUUCUGGGGACUGGAUCAGGUGGUUCCGGCAUACUCGGCAGGUGGUACCGGCGUGUCCGGAACAUGGUUCUGGCAAGUCUGAGAGGUGGAUCUGGCAUGCGCGGCAGGUGAUUCCGGAGUGUCCACCACUUGGUUCAGGUUUAGCUGGCAGGUGAUUUUGGCGUGACCGGCAGGUGGUUCCAGCAAGCGCGGCAGGUGAUUCCGAAGUUUUCACCAACUGGUUGUGGCGUAGCGGGCAGGUGCUUUUGGCGUGUUCGGCAGGUGGUUCUGGCGAGUCGAGCAGGUGGUUCCGGCGUGCUCAGCAGGUGCUUCCGGUGUCAUUGGCAUGUGGUUCUGGCAUGCCUGAGAGGUGGUUCCGGCAUGCCCACCAGGUGAUUCCGGAAUGUUCGCCAAGUGGUUCUGGCGUAGCCGGCAGUUGAUUUUACAUGUCCGGCGGUGGUUCCGGCGAGUCAAGCCGGUGGUUCCGGCGUGUUCGGAAGGUGGUUCCAGUCUGUCCUUGAGAUGGUUCCGGCCUGUCCGGCACGUGCUUCGGGCACGUCUGAGAGGUUGUGCUGGCAUGCCCGGCUGGUGAUUCUGGAGUGUCCGACAAGUGAUUCUAGCGUAGCCGGCAGUUGAUUUUGGCGUGUCCGACAGGUGGUUCUGUGGAGUGGAUCAGGAACUUCCAGCAUUCUCGGCAGGUGCUUCCGCCGUCUCCGGCAUGUGUUUGUGGCACCUCUGAGAGGUGGUUCCAGCAUGCCCGGCAGGUGAUUCCGGAGUGUCUGACAAGUGGUUUUAGCGCAGCCGGCUGGUGAUUUUGGCAUGCCCGGCAGGUGGUUCUGGCGAUUCAAACAGGUGGUCCCAGCGUGUCCGGCAGGUGGUUCCGGUCUGUCCUGGAGGUGGUUCCCGAGUGUCUGGCGAAUGGUUCUGGCGUAUCCUGCAGGUGAUUUUCGUGUGUCCAGCCAGUGGUUCUGGGGAGUGGAUCAGGUGGUUCCGGCAUACUCUGCAGGUGGUUCCGGCGUGUCCUGCACAUGGUUCUGGCACGUCUGAGAGGUGGUUCCGGCAUUCCCGGCAGGUGAUCCCGGAGAGUCCUCCAAGUGGUUCUGGCAUACCCCGCAGGUGUUUCUGGUGUGUCCGGCAGGUGGCUCUGGUGAGUCGAGCAGGUGGUUCCGGCGUGCUCGGCAGGUGCUUCUGGCAGGUCCGGCAGGUGUUUGCCGUCUGUCCAUGACGUGGUUCCGGCAUGCCCGCAAGGUGAUUCUGGAGUGUCCACCAAGUGGUUUUGGCAUAGCCGGCAUAUGAUUUUGGCCUGUCAGGCCACUGGUUGCGGCAUGUCCCGCAGGUGGUUCCGGCGAGCUCGGCAGGUGCUUCCGGGCUCUCCGGCACGUGGUUGUGGCACGUGUGAGAGAUGGUUCUGGCAUGCCCGGCAGGUGACUCCGGAGUCUCCGGCAUGUGGUUCUGGCUCCUCUGAGGGAUGGUUCCGGCAUGCCCAGCAGAUGAUUCCGGAGUGUCUGCCGAUUGGUUCUGGCGUAGCUGGCAGGUGAUUUUUGCGUGUACAGCAGGUGGUUCUGGGGAGUGGAUCAGGUAGUUCCGGCAUACUCAGCAGGUGGUACUGGCGUGUCCGGAACAUGGUUCUGGCAAGUCUGCGAGGUGGUUCCGCCUGCCCGACAGGUGAUUCCGGAGUGUCCGCCAAGUGGUUCUGGUGUACCCGGCAGGUGAUUUUUGCGUGUCCGGCAGGUUGUUCGGGUGUGUCUGAGAGCUGGUUCUGGCAUGUCCGGCAGAUGAUUCCAGAGUGACCACCAAGUGGUUCUGGCAUACCCGGCCGGUGGUUUUUGCGUGUCAGGUAGGUGGUUCUGGCGAGUCGAGCAGGUGGUUUCAGUGUGCUCGACAGUUGGCUCAGGCGGGUCUGGAAGGUGGCUUCAGUCUGUUCAGGGUGUGGUUAUGGCAUCUCAGGCACAAGGAUCUGGCACGUCCGAGAGGUGGUUCUAGCCGGCCCGACUGGUGUUUCCGGAGUGUCCACCAAGUGGUUCUGGCGUAGCUGGCAGGUGAUGUUGUUGUGACCGGCAGGUGUUUCCAGCAAGCCCGGCAGGUGAUUCCGAAGUGUCCAGCAACUGGUUGUCGCGUAGCCGGCAGGUGCUUUUGGCGUGUCUGGUGGUGGUUCCGCGGGUCAAGACAUUUUUCCGUCGUGUCCGGCAGUUGGUUCCCGUCUGUCCGGCAGGUGGUUCUGGGGUUUCCGGCACGAGGUCCUGGCACGUCUGAGAGGUUGUGUUCGCAUGCCCAUCACGUGAUUCUGGCUUGUCUGCCAAGUGGUUGUGGUGUAGCGGGCAGGUGAUUUUGGCGUGUCCAGCUGUUGGGACCGGUGAGUCAAGCAGGUGGUUCUGGCGAGUGUUUCCUGUGGUUCCGGUUUGUCCAGGAGAUGGUUCCGGCCUGUCUGGCACAUGCUUCGGGCACGUCUGAGAGGUUGUGCUGGCAUGCCCGGCAGGUGAUUCAGUAGUGUUCGCCAAGUGGUUCUGGCAUACACGGCAGGUGAUUUUGACGUGUGAGGUAGGUGGUUCCAGCGAGUCGAGCAGGUGUUUCCGGCAUUCUCGGCAGGUGGUUCAGGAGGGUCUGGCAGGUGGUUUCCGUCUGUUCGUGUUGUGGUUCCGGCAUCUCAUGCACAUGGUUCUGGCACGUCUGAGAUGUGGUUCCGGCCGGCCCGACAGUUGUUUCCGCAGUGUCCGCCAAGUGGUUCUGGCGUAGUUGGCAGGUGAUUUUGGCAUGACCGGCAGGUGGUUCCGGCAGGCCCGGCUGGUGAUUCCGGAGUGUUCGGCAAGUGCUUCUGGCGUAGCCGGCAGGUGAUUUUGCAUGUCCGGCAUUGGUUCCGGAGGGUCGAGCCAGUGUUUCCGGCAUGUCCAGCUGGUGGUUGCGGUCUGUAAGGCAGGUGGUUCUGGGGUUCCCGGCACGAGGUUCUGGCACGACUGAGAGGUUCUGCCAGCAUGCCCUUCACGUGAUUCCGGCUUGUACCCCACGUGGUUCUGGUGUAGCGGGCAGGUGAUCUUGGCGUGUCCGGCAUGUUGGACCGGUGAGUCAAGCAGGUGGUUCUGGCGACUGUUUCCUGUGGUUCCGCUCUGUCCAGGAGAUGGUACCGGCCUGUCCAGCACGUGCUUCUGGCACUUCUGAGAGGUUAUGCUGGCAUGCCCCGCAGGUGAUUCCGGAGUGUCCGCCAAGUGGUUCUGGCAUACCCGGCAGGUGAUUUUGCCAUUUCCGGCAUGUGGUUCCAGCGAGUCGAGCAUGCGGUUCCGGCGUGCUCGCCAGUUGGUUCAGGCAUGUCCGGCAUGUGGUUCCAGUCUGUCCGGGAGGUGGUUCUGGCAUGUCCGGCACGUGGUUCCGGCACGUCUGAAAGGUGGUUCUAUCAUGCCCGGCAGGUGAUUCCAGAGAGUCCACCAAAUGGUUUUGGCGUAGCCGGCAGGUGAUUAUGACGUGUCCGGCAGGUGGUUCAGGCGAGAUGAACACGUGGUUCCGACGUGCUCGGCACGUGCUUCCGGCGUCUCCGGCACGUGGUUCUAGCACAUCUGACAGGUGGUUCCAGCAUGCCCGAAAAGUGAUUCCGGUCUGUCCGGUACGUGGUUCCGGCAUGUACGGCACAUGGUUCUGGUACAUCUCAGACGUGGUUGCGCAUUCGCCCACAGGUGAUUCCGGACUGUCCUCCACGUGGUUCUGGCACGUCUGAGAGGUGGUUCCAGCAUGCCCGGCAGGUCAUCCCUGAGAGUCCUCCAAGUGGUUCUGGCGUAGCCCGCAGGUGAUUUUGGCGUGUCUGGCAGGUGGUUCCGUCGUGCUCAGCAGGUGGUUCAGGCGUGGCCGGCAGGUGGUUCCAGUCUGUCCAGUACGUGUUUCCAGCUUGUGCGGCAUGUGGUUCUGGUACGUCUGAGAGUUGGUUCCGCCAUGGCUGGCAGGUGAUUCCGGACUGUCCCCCAGGUGGUUCUGGCAUACCAAGCAGUUGAUAUUGGCCUGUCAGGCAGGUGGUUCCAGCGAGUAGAGAAGGUGGUUCCGUUCUGUCCUAUAGGUCAUUCCGGCAUGUCCGGCACGUGCUUCUGGCACGUCUGAGAGGUGGUUCUGGCAUGCGAGGCAGGUGAUUCCGGAGUGUCGUGUAAGUGGUUCUGGUGUAGCCGGCAGUUCAUUUUGGCAUGUACGGCACGUGGGUCCUGAGAGUCGAGCAGGUGGUUUCGGUGUGCUCGGAAGGUGGUCCAGGCGUGUCCGGCAUGUGGUUCCAGUCUGUCCAGGACGUGGUUCCAGCGUGUCCGGCACGUGGUUCUGUUACCUCUGAGAGGUGGUUCCUGCAUGCCUGGCAGGUGCUUCCGGACUUUCUGCCAGGUGGUUCCCGCAUAGCCAGCUGUUGAUUUUGGCCGGUCCGGCAGAUGUUUCCGGCGAGUCGAGCAGGUGGCUCCGGCGUGCUCAGCAGGUGCUUCCGGGGUCAUUGGCACGUGGUUCUGGCAUGUCUGAGAGGUGGUUCCGGCAUGCCCGGCAGGUGAUUCCGGAGUGUUCGCCAAGUGGUUCUGGCAUAGCCGGCAGGUGAUUUUGCAUGUCCGGUGGUGGUUCCAGUGAGUCGAGCCGGUGGUUCCGGCGUGUCCGGCAGGUGGUUGCGGUCUGUCCGGCAGGUGGUAUUGGGGUGUCCGGCACGAGGUUCUGGCACGUCUGAGAGGUUGUGUCGGCAUGCCCUUCACGUGAUUCCGGCUUGUCCCCCAAGUGGUUCUGGCGUAGCCGGCAGGUGGUUUUGCAUGUCCAGCUGUGGUUCUGGCGUGUCGAGCUGGUGGUUCUUUCGUGUCCAGCACGUGGUUCUGGUAUGUCUGAGAUGCGGUUCCGGCAUGGCUGGCAGGUGAUUUCGGCGUGUCUGCCAUGUUGUUCUGGCAUAGCCAGCAGGUGAUUAUGGCGUGUCCGGCACAUGGUUCCAGUGAGUCGAGCAGGUUAUUCCUGUGUGCUUGGCAUGUGCAUCUGGUGUUUCCGGCAGUUGGUUCCGGCGUGUCAGGAAUGCGGUUGUGGCAAGUUUGAGAGGUGGUUCCUGCAUGCCCGCAGGAGAUUCCAGAUUGUACACCAAGUGGUUCUGGUGGAGCCAGCAGGUGAUUUUGGCGUGUCCAGCAGGUGGGUCCUGCGUGUCGAGCAGGUGGUUCCUGCAUGCUCGGCAAGUGGUUCCGGUGUGUCCGGCAGGUGCUUCUGGUCUGUCAGGUAGCUGGUUCCGGCAUGGCCGGCACGUGGUUCUGGCACGUCUGUGAGGUGCUUCGGGCGUGGCCGGCAGGUGAUUCCUGGGUGUCCGCCAAGUGGUUCUGGCAUCACCUGGAGGUUAUUUUGGUGUGUCCGGCAGGUCUUUCCUUCUUUUUGGGCUCGUGGCUGUGGCUUGUAAGACAGAUGCUUGUGGCAUUUCUGGCCCCCGUUCUUUCAUACUCCUCAGCUGGUUUCAGUGUUUCUGGCACCUGUUUGUGGCAUAUCCAACAGGUGUUUACAAUGUGUCUGGCAUGUCGUUGUGCUAUGUUUGGAAUCUGGUUCCGUCAUGUCAUUGUGUGGGGCUGGCAUGUUGAAGAGAUGGUUCUGCAGUGUCAGAAUCGCUGUUCCACUGUGUCCGGCAGGUGGUUACAGGUGGUUAUGGCAUGCAACGUGGGUGCUUCUGGUAUGCCUGUUGGGUCAUACUGGCAUGAAUGUGUGGCCCUUUGAGAACGUGUGGAGGGUGUUCUUGGCAUGUCUCCCAGGUUUUUCUGGCACAUAAGGGGCAUGAUUCCUUUUUAUACAUCAGGUGAGUUUGUUCUCAGCUUCCUAAAGAGAUGGAAGGAAGAUGGUCUGUGGCUUGUGGCCCCCUGAGGGGUGGAGCCAAUGCAUUGUGCAUUCCAAUCUAGAGCAAUGGAGGGCAUGGCUGAGAGUAAAGUAAAUGUGUCUUUCUGCCAUUGGUGCUUUCUGACACUCUCCCAACCAUUGCACUUGGUGGUUAUUUAAAAGCCUAUUGUCUCUCUGCUCCUCAGCAUGUGGAACCACAAUCAUCUGGGCCUCAUCCCAAUUGCUCAAGGGGAAGAUGUAGGCAUUUCGUCUGAGCAGGGUUGGCAAGGUGGAACUGUGCAGGAUGCAGAU
This is a long non-coding RNA of Equus caballus (horse), 7649 nucleotides long. The record is from Ensembl. NCBI's taxonomy places the organism in Eukaryota, Metazoa, Chordata, Mammalia, Perissodactyla, Equidae.